CAGUAGCACUUGUUUCUUGGAUUUGUUAUAAAUGUAUACCCUUUCGAGACGUUGCAUCCACAUCUUGUGUCAUUUUUAAAACUUCCUUUAUUGAAAAGGAAUUGACCCUCUGCAUUACAGAAUGACUUUUGAUACACGCAAGCACUGCUCCCGUCAGUUGAGAAUGGAAAAGGUUGAUAUCGAUUGUAGUUGCAUCUGGCCUUGUUGAAAUUUGGUUGAAACACAAGUUUGCUGCCU
Molecule: long non-coding RNA, 237 nt
Filed under: Mytilus galloprovincialis (Mediterranean mussel)
Lineage: Eukaryota; Metazoa; Mollusca; Bivalvia; Mytilida; Mytilidae
Source: RNAcentral